GCUACGGGCGGCUGCAGUGGGGAAUAUUGGACAAUGGGGGGAACCCUGAUCCAGCCAUGCCGCGUGUGUGAAGAAGGCCCUCGGGUUGUAAAGCACUUUCAGUGAGGAAGAACGCCUGGUGGUUAAUACCCAUCAGGAAAGACAUCACUCACAGAAGAAGCACCGGCUAACUCCGUGCCAGCAGCCGCGGUAAUACGGAGGGUGCGAGCGUUAAUCGGAAUUACUGGGCGUAAAGCGCGCGUAGGUGGCUUGAUAAGCCGGUUGUGAAAGCCCCGGGCUCAACCUGGGAACGGCAUCCGGAACUGUCAAGCUAGAGUGCAGGAGAGGAAGGUAGAAUUCCCGGUGUAGCGGUGAAAUGCGUAGAGAUCGGGAGGAAUACCAGUGGCGAAGGCGGCCUUCUGGACUGACACUGACACUGAGGUGCGAAAGCGUGGGUAGCAAACAGGAUUAGAUACCCUGGUAGUC
Molecule: ribosomal RNA, 465 nt
Filed under: Vreelandella stevensii
Lineage: Bacteria; Pseudomonadati; Pseudomonadota; Gammaproteobacteria; Oceanospirillales; Halomonadaceae
Description: partial 16S ribosomal RNA
Rfam family: Bacterial small subunit ribosomal RNA
Source: RNAcentral